GGGGGUGAACGGUUUCGACUUCGGUGGUUGAUCCAGGGGAAGCGGGCCGAGGGCUGCGGUUGUGACCUCGUUAAUCCUGCGGCCGUACACCAAUAAGUGCCAACGCUAAGCGCACUGACCUCGCCCUCGCCGCCUAAGGCGAGUUAGGGGUUGUCAGCCCGGGGACGCCUCCGACCCGGUGCCUGGCAUCAGCAAGGAGGAUCCACCGCCUGACCCGGCCGCGGGGCAAGGCGGGACACCUCACAGCGGCUGAGCCCGUCGGCGACUUGCUUGCGUGAUCGCCGGGGCUGAGAAAAGCACAGCAAGCUGCGCCCGGAGAAGCCCUGGUGAGGCACUGAAGGACGCGGGUUCGAUUCCCGCCACCUCCAA
This 369-nucleotide transfer-messenger RNA is filed under the name Streptosporangiaceae bacterium. It matches the Rfam family "transfer-messenger RNA". From Rfam's summary of the family: Bacterial tmRNA, also known as 10Sa RNA or SsrA, is named for its dual tRNA and mRNA-like properties. The record is from RNAcentral. Lineage: Bacteria; Bacillati; Actinomycetota; Actinomycetes; Streptosporangiales; Streptosporangiaceae.